CAAAAAGUAGUUUAAACAAAACAAAAGCUUUGGAAGCUUUAAUUUUACUAAGUAACUUUUUGA
This 63-nucleotide transfer RNA is filed under the name Cuneopsis celtiformis. RNAcentral's name for it is "tRNA-Pro". Lineage: Eukaryota; Metazoa; Mollusca; Bivalvia; Unionida; Unionidae. The record is from RNAcentral.